CAGUAGCCGCGGGAAUACAGAGGGUGCGAGCGUUAAUCGGAUUUACUGGGCGUAAAGCGUGCGUAGGCGGCUUCUUAAGUCGGAUGUGAAAUCCCUGAGCUUAACUUAGGAAUUGCAUUCGAUACUGGGAAGCUAGAGUAUGGGAGAGGAUGGUAGAAUUCCAGGUGUAGCGGUGAAAUGCGUAGAGAUCUGGAGGAAUACCGAUGGCGAAGGCAGCCAUCUGGCCUAACACUGACGCUGAGGUACGAAAGCAUGGGGAGCAAACAGGAUUAGAUACCCCCGUAGUCCCUGUCUCUUAUAC
This 301-nucleotide ribosomal RNA is filed under the name uncultured bacterium. RNAcentral describes it as "partial 16S ribosomal RNA". It matches the Rfam family "Bacterial small subunit ribosomal RNA", at positions 509 to 807 of the family's 1533-position model. The record is from RNAcentral.